This 253-nucleotide ribosomal RNA is filed under the name uncultured bacterium. RNAcentral describes it as "partial 16S ribosomal RNA". It matches the Rfam family "Bacterial small subunit ribosomal RNA", at positions 524 to 776 of the family's 1533-position model. The record is from RNAcentral.
GACAGAGGGUGCAAACGUUGCUCGGAAUCACUGGGCGUAAAGGGCGUGUAGGCGGGAAGGAUAGUCAGAUGUGAAAUCCCUGGGCUCAACCCAGGAACUGCAUUUGAAACUCCCUUUCUUGAGUGUCGGAGAGGAAAGCGGAAUUCCUGGUAUAGAGGUGAAAUUCGUAGAUAUCAGGAGGAACACCGGUGGCGAAGGCGGCUUUCUGGACGACAACUGACGCUGAGACGCGAAAGCGUGGGGAGCAAACAGG